Molecule: long non-coding RNA, 377 nt
Organism: Bufo gargarizans (Asiatic toad)
Lineage: Eukaryota; Metazoa; Chordata; Amphibia; Anura; Bufonidae
Exons: 4
Source: RefSeq, a predicted model, not a curated record
UGACAUUAGUGAUGAUGCACCGUCUCCUGCUUCUGAGAGGAAGAGAAGACGACAGCGAGGGAAUGGAGACCCUGAAAGCCCUACAGGAGAGGUGACGUGACCACGAAGAUGAUCUUUGGAACACCUGCGCCGCGGAGGAGAUUAAUAUUGCGAUUGCAGCUUUGACAGCUACGGCUAUAGCGGCCACGGGCAUCGGCCUAUUUAUUUAUUACAGAAAAAAGAAAGACUUCUACAGAAGACUGAAAGACCUGGAGACGUCUUCAUCUGACGAGUCAACGGUCUAUGACUCUGACUACAUGGAGUCUUCUACAAACUCCACACUCACUUUCCAUUCGGACGAAGAAGAAAUGGAGACAGAUUGAGGAGGAGGAGACAUC